This is a long non-coding RNA of Hyla sarda, 522 nucleotides long. RefSeq lists it as uncharacterized. The record is from RefSeq and is a predicted model, not a curated record. Lineage: Eukaryota; Metazoa; Chordata; Amphibia; Anura; Hylidae. The transcript is spliced from 4 exons.
UGAAAGCGUUAUUUUUAGAAGGUGAUGAGGAAAAAAUGAAAGUGCAAAAAUGGAAAAACCCGUGGUCCUUAAGGGGUUAAAUGAAAUAAGCAAUCUGAUUGGUUGCUAUGGGCAACUGCACCACUCUGCCUCUGCACAGGUUUUGAUAAAUCUCCCCUCAUAGAGCAUUGUCUGCAGACAAGAGAGGUGCCCCCAUACACCCUUCAUAGUAUGGGUUAUCCUGCCUAUACAGGAGGUUUACACUGGAGCUGCUCACUGAGGUGUAUACUGAGGUCUCUGCUCUUGAAAAAAGCGUCCUUGUGCAAAUUGAGUAUCCACCAAAGUGGUUGUAGAGAAUUCAAUAAUUUUCAGAAAAGAAGAUCCAAGAAAGCUCUGGAGUAGAGUCUUCCUUUUGUAUUGGAGAUGAGGCUUCACAGAACCAGCAGGUUUAAUGCCUAGAGAAGAGUAUAUAGACAUACUAUCCUGCUGCUCACACAUAUUAUAUUCUACUUGACCACUCUGCAGGGAGUCUGUUUUUCAUCU